Molecule: long non-coding RNA, 953 nt
Organism: Corvus hawaiiensis (hawaiian crow)
Lineage: Eukaryota; Metazoa; Chordata; Aves; Passeriformes; Corvidae
Exons: 3
Source: RefSeq, a predicted model, not a curated record
GGAAAUCCCCCUUUUAAAUUUGAUACAUUGGCCUCUUCCAGACUCCCAAGCCUUCAGGGAGGAAGUAAUAGCAAGUGGGAUUAAAUGGGCUUGAAGCUGAGGGACCAGAGGACUAAGGACCUCAGCCCUGCUUGCUGGGGUGCAGUUUGCACACCGAUGGGCAAGGCAGUUUCUGGCAUGAGAGUUCCUGUGCAAGAGGCUAUUUGCUAUAGCUGCAGAGGAAAUCAGCUGUGUCACCCCACAGGCUCUUUUCUGUCAGUAGGAAACUGUGGUGAAGGCUCAUAUUAUACGCAGCAGCAUUGUAUUGACAAGGGUUUCCAAUACAAAGUUGACUUAAAAGAAACCAAGGUGCUGCAGUGGUACAACUGUGUGUUUAAUAAUACCAGUACAAAUCAUCACUCAUAUCCUGCUGGUGUCAGAUCAUGUUCUUCCUACAGGACAGAGGACGGUUACCAAGUCACAGGCAUGUGUGCCUGAACGUGACCCACAUAAUCCUCUAAAACAAGGAUUUGUAGGAAGACUCCUUGAAAGGUCAUCCAGCCCACCCGUAGCCCAAGGCAGGAUCGAUUGUGUGUAAGUUUUUGUGGACAGAGAUUUGUUGAGCCUGUUCCUGGAGCCCUCAGCCAUGGAGAACUGCACCCUGCAGCCACAGGGAGCGACCGUAGCGCCAGCACUCCAGCAGCUGUCCUGGCUUCCCUGAAUCGAGGCCCUUUCUCUCUUCUGACUGGGAGCAUCUGACAAAUGAAGGAGCUGCUCCAGCAGGAAAGAGUAUCCAUGUCCAUCCCACAGCCCUGACAGCUUCAACCCCGAUUGCUCAUCUGUUUCCAAGUACAACUGAGACAUUUUGCUGGUGGGCAAAGAAGUCAGGGACACUGCAUCCAGCACCCUGCAGCAGAGGAAACAUUAGUACUGCUGUUGUUAGCCUUGUUAUUUUCUCCUAAUAAAAAGGUGGU